RNAcentral lists this ribosomal RNA (301 nucleotides) under uncultured microorganism. RNAcentral describes it as "bacterial SSU rRNA". It matches the Rfam family "Bacterial small subunit ribosomal RNA", at positions 366 to 655 of the family's 1533-position model. The record is from RNAcentral.
CCACAAUGGGGGAAACCCUGAUGGAGCGACGCCGCGUGCGGGAUGAAGGCCCUAUGGGUUGUAAACCGCUGUUCAGUGGAAAGAACAUCCUCCGGCUGAAUAGGUCGGAGGCCUGACGUUACCACUGCAGAAAGUCCCGGCCAACUCCGUGCCAGCAGCCGCGGGUAAUACGGGGGGGACAGCGUUUGUCCGGAAUCAUUGGGCGUAAAGGGCGCGUAGGCGGCGAGGAAAGUCGAAUGUGAAAAUCUUGCGGCUCAACUGCAAAACUGCGUUCGAAAACUUCCUGCUUGAGUAUGAGAGA